RNAcentral lists this ribosomal RNA (429 nucleotides) under Actinomycetes bacterium. RNAcentral describes it as "Actinobacteria bacterium partial 16S ribosomal RNA". It matches the Rfam family "Bacterial small subunit ribosomal RNA", at positions 355 to 776 of the family's 1533-position model. Lineage: Bacteria; Bacillati; Actinomycetota; Actinomycetes. The record is from RNAcentral.
UAGGGAAUCUUCCGCAAUGGGCGAAAGCUUGACGGAGCAACGCCGCGUGAGUGAUGAAGGUCUUCGGAUCGUAAAACUCUGUUAUUAGGGAAGAACAAAUGUGUAAGUAACUAUGCACGUCUUGACGGUACCUAAUCAGAAAGCCACGGCUAACUACGUGCCAGCAGCCGCGGUAAUACGUAGGUGGCAAGCGUUAUCCGGAAUUAUUGGGCGUAAAACGCGCGUAGGCGGUUUUUUAAGUCUGAUGUGAAAGCCCACGGCUCAACCGUGGAGGGUCAUUGGAAACUGGAAAACUUGAGUGCAGAAGAGGAAAGUGGAAUUCCAUGUGUAGCGGUGAAAUGCGCAGAGAUAUGGAGGAACACCAGUGGCGAAGGCGACUUUCUGGUCUGUAACUGACGCUGAUGUGCGAAAGCGUGGGGAUCAAACAGG